Long non-coding RNA from Oreochromis niloticus (Nile tilapia), 335 nucleotides. RefSeq lists it as uncharacterized. The transcript has 3 exons. The record is from RefSeq and is a predicted model, not a curated record. Lineage: Eukaryota; Metazoa; Chordata; Actinopteri; Cichliformes; Cichlidae.
AGUGGUGCCAGUCCCUGGUGUUGGACAGGUGGGGCAGGGGCUGCAGAACAGCUGGGGACUGGAGGACGAUGAUGAAGAUGACUAUGAAGAGGAAAAAAAUGACAACAGUGGUGAUGAGCAAGUGGAAGAAGUGACAAAGAUGGAUGUGGGCGAAGGAGAUGUGGUUGAGAUAUCAGACAUUGAAGAGGAAGAGGUGGUCAUACUAAACCCAGAGGUGCCAGAAAAACCAAAAAAUACAGGCUCCAAGUCUCACCAGAAGGGGGCAGCAGCAUCCAAGAAACGGCAGAAAAAAUGAGGAACGACUGCAGAUGGAGAUUUGUUCCAAAACGUCAACA